This 1447-nucleotide long non-coding RNA is filed under the name Theobroma cacao (cacao). RNAcentral's name for it is "long non-coding RNA (TCAC_LNC000513)". The record is from RNAcentral. Lineage: Eukaryota; Viridiplantae; Streptophyta; Magnoliopsida; Malvales; Malvaceae.
UUCAAAACAUUUUUUAGAUUUUCUCCUGUAUCAUUUAGGUAAUCUUGCCAUACAUCGGUGGAUGUUCAGUGGAUUGAUUUUGUUAGUGCAAAACGAAAUCAAUCACUGAAUUUCAUUGUAUCUUCGAGAUUAUCACUUGUAACCCUUAUGCACAUAAUCAGUGGGGUGAAUAAAAUCUUAAGAACAGUGACAUUGUUACAUGGCUUGAAUUCAUUUUGGUAUUUUCCAGUUCGGUGAAUGAACACAAAAUCCACACUAAACCCAACUAGAACGACACAACCUUAAUUUUGCUGGAGUGGUGAUCCAAUUUGCGGUUGCAUUUCCUUCACACUUUAUCCAUCGAAGAUGAUAAUGAUUUAAUUGGGAGGAGAAACAUUUGAAGUCGUAUAGAAAAGGCUCAUUCUCCCACCUCUUCUUCUUUACCAUAUUCAUUCUAUUAACUAGCUCCUUUCAAUCAGACUCCAAACCAAUCUUUUCCUCCUUGUACUUUUGUGCUAACAUUACUCUUUCCUUGAGAGUCACAACUUCAACUUUCAUAGCAAAAUCAACAAAAGCAACUAAGUCAAUGCCAUCCAGCUCUUUACCUUCCCAAUUUAUGCACGAUCAGACCUACGUACCCGUGCACUAUUAGUUUUGGCAUCAAAAGUUGCAUCAUAGUUGGACUUUAGCUCUCUACAUCCACUAUAAAACAUAAGAUUUUUAUCAAUGGAAAAAUCCAUCCAUAAAGGUUAUAAAUCUGUCAGUAACUCACUUUACCAAUGGAAGUUUUUGUCAAUAUUGAGUCAAUAAUAUCAUGAUUGGUAAAGGAAAAUCCGUUGAAAAAUGAAAACACAGUCAGCAAGUGCGAUCGAUAAAACAUCGAAGCCAUCAAAAUCUUUUUUGCUUAGUAUCAUGUGACAUCCAUCGAUAAGUUUCAUUGAGACAAUACUGAUGGAACUAAGAGUUUUGAAAUGUGUUCAAUUUCAUCAAUAAUGUCCUCUACUCUUUCGGUAAUAAGGUUGAUUCUGUCAAUGAUCUAGAGUCCAUUUCCAUUGGUGACAGCAAAAAUUCAGUCAGUAAUGACAUGAAAUGCAAAAAGAUUUUUUUACAAAAAUUGAAAUUGAUUGGUUCCUAUUGUCAUUUCAAAUGAAAAAGAUAAAUAAAAAUAAUUAAUAAUUUUAAAUAUUACAAAUAUUUAAAAAAAUUAUUAAUAAAAAAGAAUACAAAUUUUAUUAUUUUUAUUGUAAUAAAUAAAUAAAAUAUAAAUAACAUCCAUAUUACCUCAGAGAAUAGCUCUGACUGCAUUACCUCAAAGAAUAUCAUCAGUCUCUCCAUUACCUCUGAUUGCAAGACAAUCAAUAACAUCCAUAUUACAACACAAUAUAUAUAUAAAUAUAUUAAUGCAAAUUGUGAAAUUCCACUUUGACUAAGUGGAUAAGUUAGAAAAUCCUUAGGUAAGCACAUAGAU